Molecule: ribosomal RNA, 583 nt
Filed under: Trichoderma atroviride
Lineage: Eukaryota; Fungi; Ascomycota; Sordariomycetes; Hypocreales; Hypocreaceae
Description: eukaryotic LSU rRNA
Rfam family: 5.8S ribosomal RNA (bases 188-341)
Source: RNAcentral
ACGGUUUCGAGUUCACUCCCAACCCAAUGUGAACCAUACCAAACUGUUGCCUCGGCGGGGUCACGCCCCGGGUGCGUCGCAGCCCCGGAACCAGGCGCCCGCCGGAGGGACCAACCAAACUCUUUUCUGUAGUCCCCUCGCGGACGUUAUUUCUUACAGCUCUGAGCAAAAAUUCAAAAUGAAUCAAAACUUUCAACAACGGAUCUCUUGGUUCUGGCAUCGAUGAAGAACGCAGCGAAAUGCGAUAAGUAAUGUGAAUUGCAGAAUUCAGUGAAUCAUCGAAUCUUUGAACGCACAUUGCGCCCGCCAGUAUUCUGGCGGGCAUGCCUGUCCGAGCGUCAUUUCAACCCUCGAACCCCUCCGGGGGGUCGGCGUUGGGGACCUCGGGAGCCCCUAAGACGGGAUCCCGGCCCCGAAAUACAGUGGCGGUCUCGCCGCAGCCUCUCCUGCGCAGUAGUUUGCACAACUCGCACCGGGAGCGCGGCGCGUCCACGUCCGUAAAACACCCAACUUCUGAAAUGUUGACCUCGGAUCAGGUAGGAAUACCCGCUGAACUUAAGCAUAUCAAAAGGCCGGGAGGAAA